Molecule: non-coding RNA, 4757 nt
Organism: Callorhinus ursinus (northern fur seal)
Lineage: Eukaryota; Metazoa; Chordata; Mammalia; Carnivora; Otariidae
Source: RefSeq, a predicted model, not a curated record
AUGCAGGGCUCGAUGUGGGGCUCGAUCCCAGGACUCUGGGAUCAUGACCUGAGCCACCCAGAUGCCCCUGAAGUUUUCUCUUGUUAAAAUGAUGAUGUACUAUGGACCAGAAAGCCUCUUGAUCUUCUAUUGGGAAGUACUACUUAUUAGCAGAGGAAUAGUUAAACACAUUCAGGUACACUUUGGUACGGAUUCUGGGUCUUAAAGGUUGAUUUGGGUCAUUCUUUUAAACUUUGAGGGAAAAAUUGGGAACUCUACGGACAGUGGUGAGAAUCAAAUAAAAUACAUGAAGUAACUUUGCAAAUAUAAGGUGCUUAUUUUUCUGGAUAUCCUGAGUUCACAGAAAGCAAUGAUUUGUUGGGACGAGCUGGACAGAAGAGUCAGUGCGAAGGUCCUAAGUUCCAUCAUCCAUCAUGUUGCUCCUGAAUCCUGGCUUCCAGUGAUUUUCUCAAAGAAUGUGCUCUCUUGUUGAUGUCCACAAAUGCAAGUCUUAACCAAAGUAUGCCGGAAAAUGUGAGUGAUCAUUUGUUUUCUAGUCACGCUAAACUUACUACAUAUCUUCCAACCAUGUCUUGAUUUCUUCAGGCCAGGAUCACCGCAUCCCUAAAAUGGGAUCUCUUUCAGUGGCAGCGGCACCCUACCUUCCAGGUGGGUGAAUCCAGUCCAGCAGUUGCAUUCGCCAGCGAGGAAUGCGCUUGACUAGUCCGGGAGAGCGCGAAGUCACCAUGUGAUCAGGGGCUGGGGAGGACAGCGAUCUGAAGGGCCAGUUGUAAGCCACAGAGGACUUGACGCGCCACCCCAAUGGUCUACCUGAUCGGAGGUAGUGCGCUGGUACCCACCCUGGGUGCCAGAGGUGCAGCACAUUGAGUAAGGGACCCGCCACCACCCCGCGUUGGGUACUAUAGACAUAGUCGGGGAAUACCCCAGGCUCGCCACGCUCCAGGAAGGAAAGACCUGGGUCCAUGCGGUGAGGUCCGGCUCCGAGAGCCCCACGCGAGUGGGUUCCAGAAAAUUUCCAAGAAGGAACUCAAAGUGCCCGGCACCCUGAUGGCAAGUAGUAGUGAAUUGCAUACCGAAUUUUACUAUUCUCGCUCCACCACUUGGAUGGUUUUGUCUUUUGCUUUAUCAUCCCCACAAAAUACAGACCUUUCUCUGGUCUGAUAGGACCUCAUAGGAUCUAUAAAAUCAUUAUUGGAGUAAAGAUGCUUAUUUUGUAGGCAGCUUUCUCAAAGUCAAGCUACCUCAAAGUGAAAGAAUGGUAAGCAUAAACUAAUAAGCUGAUUUUUCUUGAUCUAUAAGAUUUAUGUAAUCAAAAAGCACCACAUAGGUCCAGAUUAGCUUUAUUUUUUCCCUUUUAGCAUUUGUUUUCUCAUAUUUCAGAUGCUGGCCAUGUCCACAUUGUGAAACAAUUUACAUAUAUAGUUCUGUUGAUGUCGCUCAGUAGCAACUAGAGAAGAAAAGUAUGUUGAAAUGUUUUUUAUUUGUAGUUUAGACUGAAACAUCUAUCGAUACCUAAAAAAUAUAUAUCCAGCUGUUCUUUCUGCACUUUAGAAUACCUUCAAUUAGAAUGCAUUAUAUUAUAUAUAUUUAUAAAAUAUUCUAUUAUAGAUUAUUUACCGGGAGCAAAUUUUGCCUAGGGCAGAGCAUCAGUGCAUAUAGAAUCAUAGGAUGCUAGUGCUAGAAAUUACCUUGAAGAGACCCUAACCCAGGACAUGUCAUUCAUGACCAGCUUGUGGAUUCAUAAAUUUCCUGAAAUGUGUUGGUAUGUGUAUUAGUUUCAUACUGCCCCUGAAACAAAUUACCAGAAGCUUAGUGACUUUACACAGUGCAAAUUUAUUAUGGUUCGGUAACUAUAAGAACAGUAUAUAUUUCUGACUGUUCUGACACCGGUUACACAGGUCUCACUAGGCUAAAGUCAAGGUAUUAUCAGGGUUGUGUUCCUUCCGGAGGCUCUAGGGGAAAAAUCCAUUUACUUGUGUUUUGCAACCUCUAGAGGCUGUCUGCCUUCCCUUGGCUUAUGACAAAGCCAGCAAUGGCUAAUUUCUCAGGUGUCACUCUGAUGCUCCUUGACACUCCUUUUGGGUUCCCACUUUGCCUUCUCUCUGACUGAUUCCUCCUAUGCCCCUCUUAUAAGGAACCUUAUGAUUGCAUUGGCCCCCCCCCCAGGAUAAUCUGAGAUAAUAUCCCCAUUUCAAAAUCCUUACUCUGAUCACAUCUGCAAUGUCUCUUUUUCUAUGUAAAGCAUAGAGUAAGGUCCACAAAUUCCAGGAUUACAACAUCAACAUCUUUGGGGAGGCCCCUAUUUAGUCUACCACAGUGUGUAAACUCUUGAGGCAUAUGAGUGUAUCUCCGUGUGCAUGCAGUUUUUAUAGAUAAUUCUUCAAAAUAGUUCGCCCCAUAAUGGCUUUUCAGAGAGAUCUGACUUGAUAUAGUUUAAUCACUUCCACAAUUUGGCACCCUCUCCUAUCUCAUGAAAGGGAACAUUAAAGUCCCAGAGAGACUGACUUAUACAAAACCAUAUGAAUGAUGAGAGAUGUUUCCCUGACCUCCAUUUUUGACCCUUUGUAACUAUCACCUACCAGAAACGAAUCAGCAGAUUAUAGCGGUGUCCUGCCCAUUCCCUGCAUAGAAAGAAUCCCUGAGUCUCCUGGGAAGCUUACAGUGAGUCUGCGGCUAACAGAAUCGGUGCCACUGGCUGUAGGGCAGCUCAGAUCCAGAGUGAUGCCCCAGUGAGAGUGCACAUCUCACGUUGUUAAGAAGCACAGUGCCUUGAAGCUGAGCCCUUCUAUCUGCAGGGACAGUGGAGGUGGAAAGAGAGGGACUCAGAUGUUUUAGAGCACCUUAUUGUCAGAGCUCAGGGUGUUUUAGUUAUUCAGUGUCAGACAUAGGAGUAGAAUCCUCCUGACACCUGCAAGGCCCUGGAAGGUUGAUAAGCUUUCUGCUAUUGCUAUAUUCCAGCACAGUGCUAAUGAGUGCAGGAUCAGAAGUCAGACUACUCGGGCCAGAUUCGAGCUCUAUCAUUACAAUCUGUGUCCUUUGGCAAAUUGCUGGACUUCUCUGUAUCUCAGUUGCUUCAUCAGUAAAAUGGGGGAACUUAUUUUAUUGGGGUAAGAUAGGUUUGGAUUCUAAUUAUGAAUGGUUCCAUGGUUCACCAGUUAUCUCCUAAUAUGUGAGUGAGAAAGCAUUUCAUAUGUGUAGAACUUUACAUACACAAAAUUGCUUCACAUUCUCUCUGUUAUUUAGGCCAUUUCAGCAAGUCAUAUCAGAAUAUAUGAUUCUGUUUACCAGUUUGUUGCAAAGAGCAAAUGGGAUAAAUUUGGUAAAGUAGCUGGCAUGCAGUAAACACCACAUACUAUUUUUACUAUUAACCACUACUACAGAUGGGUGCAGAUACUUACUUUGGCCACAGAGAGGCAGCAGAGGAAACAACACUUGAAAUCCAUUUCUGUCUAAGGUCUGGUGUACUGAGAUUGAAGAAGUUUAAUUGUACGUGGUGGUUAGUUCAGAAAAAUAAUUCAGUUUGGGAAUGGUAUAAUUUGCCUCUCUGGAAACACCAUUCAUUGCUCUUUGGUUCACUAGUCCCAUUUAUAGAUGUGUGCCCCACAGGUAAAGGAGCUUGUUGUGUAGCUAUAUAGCUGAGGGCAGCCUGCCGUUAUCUGUUCUUUAGUGACCAGGGCUAAAUUUUGGUAGAUUUAUUUAGAAGCUAACAUUAUAAUGCUACACUUAAUAUUUUGAGGUAGCAAAUAACUACCUAGUCUUGCAUUUGGAAGGCCUUUGGUUGUGAUAUUUUAAAGGUUUAAGGUUAAUGUGAUUUUCGUUUGUGCUAAACAAAAUGCAGAAAGCACUUUGGAAAUUCACAUUGUUGUUUCUUACUACAAUCCUGCAUUUGAAUUUUUUUAAUGGAAUUGGAGAUUGAGAACAGAGAAAGGAGACAAAGAAGAUAAAUGUAAUAAUGAUUCUGCAAUUCAGCUUUUGGAAACAUAAAGAAAGCUGAGUAAAACACAUUUAAACAUUGAGAUUGUAUUUGUCUUCUAGAAAGGAGGCAGCUAAGAUUGUGGUGGAGGGAUGGGGGAGCUGACAAAAUCGAAGUUAAGAAAGGAGCAAGUCUAUAUAUGCCAAGCCACAGCAUUUGAUGUAGUAGCCAAAAACAUUUGGUAACAAAAUAUAAGGUAGUAUUAGCAUAUAAUUUAUUUUAAUUAUAUGUCUUAAAAUUACAUAAAUCCAUUAGCAUAAGGGGGGGAAGUACAGUAUUCCUAAUGGAAAAGCCUUGUCUAACUGGCUGUGGAACAAAAGAAUAUUCUGGGCAAACACACAUACACACAAACACACACAUACACAGACACACAAAUGGGAAUUUGAUUUAUUUAAUUGGAAAUGGAUAGUAUACAAUGAAAUAUCAGGGAUGUGAACUACCCUUCAAAUGUUCACACAGUUGCUAUAAAGCCCUUUGAGGCCAUGUAGAGAAGACAAAGAAUACUUUAAUCCUUUGCUAGAAAGCUGUAGUGGAAGAUCACGAUUAUGUGAUUUAGAAUAUAAACUGUUUAUGUCAUACUCUGAAGGAGUUUGAUGUAGAAAGGGCUUCCAGAAUCUAGUAAAAAGAAAGUUUUCUGGUGUUAAUGUAUAUAAACAACUAUUUUCUUUCUGAUGGUAUAAUGCUUUAAGUUUAUAUACUCUUUGAUCCUUCUGUUAACUGAAAAUCUUAUGGAGAGUAUUUACUGUUGUAUAAUCCCCAAAAACUAAUAAAAUAAUUCUGAGCA